This 497-nucleotide ribosomal RNA is filed under the name uncultured bacterium. Its description in RNAcentral is "partial 16S ribosomal RNA". It matches the Rfam family "Bacterial small subunit ribosomal RNA", at positions 28 to 507 of the family's 1533-position model. The record is from RNAcentral.
GAUGAACGCUGGCGGCGUGCCUAAUACAUGCAAGUCGAGCGAACAGACGAGGAGCUUGCUCCUCUGACGUUAGCGGCGGACGGGUGAGUAACACGUGGAUAACCUACCUAUAAGACUGGGAUAACUUCGGGAAACCGGAGCUAAUACCGGAUAACAUGUUGAACCGCAUGGUUCAAAAGUGAAAGACGGUCUUGCUGUCACUUAUAGAUGGAUCCGCGCCGCAUUAGCUAGUUGGUAAGGUAACGGCUUACCAAGGCAACGAUGCGUAGCCGACCUGAGAGGGUGAUCGGCCACACUGGAACUGAGACACGGUCCAGACUCCUACGGGAGGCAGCAGUAGGGAAUCUUCCGCAAUGGGCGAAAGCCUGACGGAGCAACGCCGCGUGAGUGAAGAAGGUCUUCGGAUCGUAAAACUCUGUUAUUAGGGAAGAACAAAUGUGUAAGUAACUAUGCACGUCUUGACGGUACCUAAUCAGAAAGCCACGGCUAACUACGUG